This 381-nucleotide ribosomal RNA is filed under the name uncultured eukaryote. Its description in RNAcentral is "SSU rRNA". It matches the Rfam family "Eukaryotic small subunit ribosomal RNA", at positions 587 to 972 of the family's 1831-position model. The record is from RNAcentral.
AGCUCCAAUAGCGUAUAGUGAAGUUGUUGCAGUUAAAAAGCUCAUAGUUGGGUUUCUGCUGAGGAUGACCGGUCCACCCUCUGGGUGAGUAUCUGGCUCAGCCUUGGCAUCUUCCUGAAGAGCGUAUCUGCACUUGACUGUGUGGUGCGGUAUUUAGGACAUUUACUUUGAAGAAAUUAGAGUGUUUCAAGCAAGCGCACGCCUUGAAUACAUUAGCAUGGAAUAAUAAGACAGGACCUCGGUUCUAUUUUGUUGGUUUCUAGAGCUGAGGUAAUGAUUGAUAGGGAUAGUUGGGGGCAUUCGUAUUUUACUGUCAGAGGUGAAAUUCUUGGAUUUGCUAAAGACGGACUACUGCGAAAGCAUUUGCCAAGGAUGUUUUCA